AGCCGGAGUUCAAGAAUCUGAGGUUGGUCGGCGUUCUCGGCGCGGGCGGGUUCGGUUCCGUCACGCUG
RNAcentral lists this transfer RNA (68 nucleotides) under uncultured Amoebophrya. RNAcentral's name for it is "partial Selenocysteine transfer RNA". Lineage: Eukaryota; Dinophyceae; Syndiniales. The record is from RNAcentral.